CCUACGGGGGGCAGCAGUGAGGAAUAUUGGUCAAUGGCCGGAAGGCUGAACCAGCCAUGCCGCGUGAAGGUCAGUGCCCUAUGGGCGUUAAACUUCUUUUGUGCGGGAGCAAUAAUGGUCACGUGUGGCCAGACGAGAGUACCGUACGAAUAAGCAUCGGCUAACUCCGUGCCAGCAGCCGCGGUAAUACGGGGGAUGCAAGCGUUAUCCGGAUUUAUUGGGUUUAAAGGGUGCGUAGGCUGGGAGGUAAGUCAGCGGUGAAAUGCCCCCGCUCAACGGGGUGAAGUGCCAUUGAUACUGCCUGGCUGGAAUGCGGAUGCCGUGGGAGGAAUGUGUGGUGUAGCGGUGAAAUGCAUAGAUAUCACACAGAACACCGAUUGCGAAGGCAUCUCACGAAGCCGCGAUUGACGCUGAUGCACGAAAGCGUGGGUAUCAAACAGGAUUAGAUACCCGAGUAGUC
RNAcentral lists this ribosomal RNA (460 nucleotides) under uncultured bacterium. RNAcentral describes it as "partial 16S ribosomal RNA". It matches the Rfam family "Bacterial small subunit ribosomal RNA", at positions 338 to 795 of the family's 1533-position model. The record is from RNAcentral.